RNAcentral lists this long non-coding RNA (442 nucleotides) under Nicotiana benthamiana. RNAcentral's name for it is "long non-coding RNA (NBEN_LNC022035)". The record is from RNAcentral. Lineage: Eukaryota; Viridiplantae; Streptophyta; Magnoliopsida; Solanales; Solanaceae.
AUUGCUAUCAUCAUGUCAAACAAUAACAACAACAACAAUCAAGAAAAAUCGAAUCCAUCAAGUGGUGGGAGAUGAACACGGUUAUCCUCUUCCUCAAGCUUCUUCACAUGGAUCUCAAGAAGGAACUCCUAAUGAUCUAUCUGAACAUGCUGAGGGAGGAGUUGAAACAAGAGAUGAGCUUCUACAAAAAAUAAUUGAUGCACGAAUUGACAGAGCUUUGGAAUCUUUAGUUAGUCGGUUGCCUGCUGCACCGAAUAAUAUCACGUUGGAAAACCCCCGCUCUGAUCUAGUUAAUUCUAGUAAUGGGGCAACCCCUAGUGAUUCGCAAGAAGGAGAACCAUGUAACUCAGAUAAUUCUCAUUUUCAAAAUUAGUACUAACUCUGAAACAGCUCAAGGAUCAAAGUUAGUAGAGUUGAGUUCCUUUUUGAUUUUUUGUUUCUG